UACGUAGGGUGCGAGCGUUAAUCGGAAUUACUGGGCGUAAAGCGUGCGCAGGCGGUUUUGCAAGACAGAUGUGAAAUCCCCGGGCUUAACUUGGGAAUUGCGCUUGUAACUGGCAAGCUAGAGUGUGGCAGAGGGGGGUGGAAUUCCACGUGUAGCAGUGAAAUGCGUAGAUAUGUGGAGGAAUACCGAUGGCGAAGGCAGCCCCCUGGGUUAACACUGACGCUCAUGCACGAAAGCGUGGGGAGCAAACAGG
RNAcentral lists this ribosomal RNA (253 nucleotides) under uncultured bacterium. RNAcentral describes it as "partial 16S ribosomal RNA". It matches the Rfam family "Bacterial small subunit ribosomal RNA", at positions 524 to 776 of the family's 1533-position model. The record is from RNAcentral.